AUUGAACGCUGGCGGAAUGCUUUACACAUGCAAGUCGAACGGCAGCACGGGGGCAGCCCUGGUGGCGAGUGGCGAACGGGUGAGUAAUACAUCGGAACGUGCCCGGUCGUGGGGGAUAACGUAGCGAAAGUUACGCUAAUACCGCAUACGAUCUGAGGAUGAAAGCGGGGGACCUUCGGGCCUCGCGCGAUCGGAGCGGCCGAUGUCAGAUUAGGUAGUUGGUGGGGUAAAGGCCUACCAAGCCGACGAUCUGUAGCUGGUCUGAGAGGACGACCAGCCACACUGGGACUGAGACACGGCCCAGACUCCUACGGGAGGCAGCAGUGGGGAAAUUUGGACAAUGGGCGCAAGCCUGAUCCAGCCAUUCCGCGUGCAGGACGAAGGCCUUCGGGUUGUAAACUGCUUUUGUACGGAACGAAAAGGCUCUGGCUAAUACCUGGGGCUCAUGACGGUACCGUAAGAAUAAGCACCGGCUAACUACGUG
RNAcentral lists this ribosomal RNA (484 nucleotides) under uncultured bacterium. RNAcentral's name for it is "partial 16S ribosomal RNA". It matches the Rfam family "Bacterial small subunit ribosomal RNA", at positions 29 to 507 of the family's 1533-position model. The record is from RNAcentral.